AUUGAACGCUGGCGGAAUGCUUUACACAUGCAAGUCGAACGGCAGCAUAGAGAGCUUGCUCUCUGAUGGCGAGUGGCGAACGGGUGAGUAAUAUAUCGGAACGUGCCUAGUAAUGGGGAAUAACUAGCUGAAAGGUUAGCUAAUGCCGCAUACGACCUACGGGUGAAAGCAGGGGAUCUUCGGACCUUGCGUUAUUAGAGCGGCCGAUAUCUGAUUAGCUUGUUGGUGGGGUAAUGGCCUACCAAGGCGACGAUCAGUAGCUGGUCUGAGAGGACGAUCAGCCACACUGGAACUGAGACACGGUCCAGACUCCUACGGGAGGCAGCAGUGGGGAAUUUUGGACAAUGGGGGCAACCCUGAUCCAGCCAUUCCGCGUGAGUGAAGAAGGCCUUCGGGUUGUAAAGCUCUUUCGCAAGAGAAGAAAACUUGCUAUCUAAUAAAUAGUAAGUAUGACGGUAUCUUGACAAGAAGCACCGGCUAACUACGUGCCAGCAGCCGCGGUAAUACGUAGGGUGCAAGCGUUAAUCGGAAUUACUGGGCGUAAAGCGUGCGCAGGCAGUUUUAUAAGUCAGAUGUGAAAUCCCCGAGCUCAACUUGGGAACUGCGUUUGAAACUGUAAGACUAGAGUGUGUCAGAGGGGGGUAGAAUUCCAAGUGUAGCAGUGAAAUGCGUAGAGAUUUGGAGGAAUACCAAUGGCGAAAGGCAGCCCCCUGGGAUAACACU
This 723-nucleotide ribosomal RNA is filed under the name bacterium IMCC7629. RNAcentral describes it as "bacterial SSU rRNA". It matches the Rfam family "Bacterial small subunit ribosomal RNA", at positions 28 to 741 of the family's 1533-position model. The record is from RNAcentral.